AUGCAAGUCGAGGGGCAGCAUGGUCGUUGCUUGCAAUGACCGAUGGCGACCGGCGCACGGGUGAGUAACGCGUAUCCAACCUUCCCCCUACCCGGGUAUAGCCCGCCGAAAGGCGGAUUAAUCCCCGAUACGUCCCCUGACGGCAUCAGGCGGGGACGAAAGGUUUUCCGGUAAGGGAUGGGGAUGCGUCCGAUUAGCUUGUUGGCGGGGUAACGGCCCACCAAGGCAACGAUCGGUAGGGGUUCUGAGAGGAAGGUCCCCCACAUUGGAACUGAGACACGGUCCAAACUCCUACGGGAGGCAGCAGUGAGGAAUAUUGGUCAAUGGGCGGAAGCCUGAACCAGCCAAGUAGCGUGCAGGAUGACGGCCCUACGGGUUGUAAACUGCUUUUUUGCGGGAAUAAAGCGGCUCACGCGUGGGCCUUUGCAUGUACCGCACGAAUAAGGACCGGCUAAUUCCGUGCCAGCAGCCGCGGUAAUACGGAAGGUCCGGGCGUUAUCCGGAUUUAUUGGGUUUAAAGGGAGCGUAGGCCGCCUUUUAAGCGUGCUGUGAAAUACCGUUGCCCAACAACGGGGCUGCAGCGCGAACUGGAGGGCUUGAGUUCACGGGAAGCCGGCGGAAUUCGUCGUGUAGCGGUGAAAUGCUUAGAUGUGACGAAGAACUCCGAUUGCGAAGGCAGCCGGCUGUAGUGUUACUGACGCUGAAGCUCGAAAGUGCGGGUAUCGAACAGGAUUAGAUACCCUGGUAGUCCGCACGGUAAACGAUGGACGCCCGCUGUGCGCCCUUUAGGGUGCGCGGCCUAGCGAAAGCGUUAAGCGUCCCACCUGGGGAGUACGCCGGCAACGGUGAAACUCAAAGGAAUUGACGGGGGCCCGCACAAGCGGAGGAACAUGUGGUUUAAUUCGAUGAUACGCGAGGAACCUUACCCGGGCUUGAACUGCAGAGGAAAGAUCCAGAGAUGGUGAUGCCCUUCGGGGCCUCUGCGGAGGUGCUGCAUGGUUGUCGUCAGCUCGUGCCGUGAGGUGUCGGCUUAAGUGCCAUAACGAGCGCAACCCCUUUCCCCAGUUGCCAUCGGGUGAUGCCGGGCACUC
RNAcentral lists this ribosomal RNA (1091 nucleotides) under uncultured bacterium. RNAcentral describes it as "bacterial SSU rRNA". It matches the Rfam family "Bacterial small subunit ribosomal RNA", at positions 55 to 1140 of the family's 1533-position model. The record is from RNAcentral.